This 126-nucleotide small RNA is filed under the name Marmota monax (woodchuck). Lineage: Eukaryota; Metazoa; Chordata; Mammalia; Rodentia; Sciuridae. The record is from RNAcentral.
GUUGGGCAUAGUGGCACAUGCCUGUAAUCCCAGCAGCUCAGGAGGCUGAUGCAGGAAGAUCAUGAGUUCAGAGAAAGCCUCAGCCAAAAGUGAGGCACUAAGCAACACAGUGAGACCCUGUCUCUA